GACGAACGCUGGCGGCGUGCUUAACACAUGCAAGUCGAACGAAGUGGCGAACGGGUGAGUAAUACGUGGGUAACCUGCCCUCCUUUUUGGGAUAAGCCUUGGAAACGGGGUCUAAUACCGAAUAAGGGGGGAUGGGCUCGCGGCCUAUCAGCUUGUUGGUGGGGUCAUGGCCUACCAAGGCGGUGACGGGUAGCCGGGCUGAGUGGGUGACCUGCCACAUUGGGACUGAAGUACGGCCAAGACUCCUACGGGGGGCAGCAGUGGGGGAUAUUGCACAAUGGGCGAAAGCCUGAUGCAGCGACGCCGCGUGGGGGAUGAAGGCUUGCGGGUUGUAAACCUCUUUCGCUAUCGAAAGGGUAUGUGGAGAAGAAGCGCCGGCUAACUACGUGCCAGCAGCCGCGGUAAUUC
This 408-nucleotide ribosomal RNA is filed under the name uncultured bacterium. Its description in RNAcentral is "partial 16S ribosomal RNA". It matches the Rfam family "Bacterial small subunit ribosomal RNA", at positions 28 to 526 of the family's 1533-position model. The record is from RNAcentral.